AGCAGCCGCGGUAAUUCCAGCUCCAAUAGCGUAUAUUAAAGUUGUUGCAGUUAAAAAGCUCGUAGUUGAAUUUCGGGACCAAUCUGCCGGUCGUGCCUCCGGUACGCACUGGUUUUAUUGGUCUCUCCCUUCUGACGAACCAUGAUGUCAUUAAUUUGGUGUCAUGGGGAAUCAGGACUGUUACUUUGAAAAAAUUAGAGUGUUUAAAGCAGGCUCACGCUUGAAUACAUUAGCAUGGAAUAAUGAAAUAGGACGUUUGAUUCUAUUUUGUUGGUUUCUAGGAUCGACGUAAUGAUUAAUAGGGAUAGUUGGGGGCAUUAGUAUUCAAUUGUCAGAGGUGAAAUUCUUGGAUUUAUUGAAGACUAACUACUGCGAAAGCAUUUGCCAAGGAUGUUUUCAUUAAUCAAGAACGAAAGUUAGGGGAUCGAAGACGAUCAGAUACCGUCGUAGUCUUAACCAUAAACUAUGCCGACUAGGGAUCGGAUGAUGUUAAUUUUUUAAUGACUCAUUCGGCGCCUUA
RNAcentral lists this ribosomal RNA (520 nucleotides) under uncultured Glomus. RNAcentral describes it as "SSU rRNA". It matches the Rfam family "Eukaryotic small subunit ribosomal RNA", at positions 569 to 1090 of the family's 1831-position model. Lineage: Eukaryota; Fungi; Glomeromycota; Glomeromycetes; Glomerales; Glomeraceae. The record is from RNAcentral.